Notechis scutatus (mainland tiger snake) is the source of this 603-nucleotide long non-coding RNA. RefSeq lists it as uncharacterized. The record is from RefSeq and is a predicted model, not a curated record. Lineage: Eukaryota; Metazoa; Chordata; Lepidosauria; Squamata; Elapidae.
UGUCACUAAGCGAUGUGGUCAUUAAGUUCACAAACCUCCAGAGACCUGCUCAGAGACUGUCAAUGGGGUUUUGGAAUCCAGAGUAAGAAUCCCUACUACAGGUGUGAUGCACUUAAAAAUCAGGUGGAGUGUUGAUCACACCAUUGUGGUUGCCAUUUUGGCCAUACUUUCCAGACACCACUGGUGCUCCUUUGUAGCAAAACCAAGCCUUCAAAAUGUGGAUUCAGAAUAAAUGUAAAUGAUUAUCAACUAAUGUACAGUACACAUCCUAUAGCCUCUUUCUCACCUGCUGAUGUCCCUGUUCCUUGUUGGCACACAUUAAUAAUAGUCAGUUCACAACCCCAGCAUAGCUGCUUCAGCAACGUGUUAUCUUUUAAAUAAAUGGGGCAGUAUUUUUAUUAGGCCUUUCAAACUGUCACAAAAGAGCGAGAAAAAUUUCAAGAUCUCCAGAAUUCCUCAUCAGGAGGUGACUGUGACUAAAUGAGACUUUAGGCUGCAUUCUCAAAUUAUUAUUUUUUUCCUUCCCUUCUUUGUCCUCUAUCUGCUUAGCGCCUAGCCUGCUAAGAAUCUGGGGGAUAGCAUUUAUUCCCACCUUACUCAAAA